Molecule: long non-coding RNA, 421 nt
Organism: Osmerus eperlanus (European smelt)
Lineage: Eukaryota; Metazoa; Chordata; Actinopteri; Osmeriformes; Osmeridae
Exons: 4
Source: RefSeq, a predicted model, not a curated record
GGGCGGGUCACCGCCAUGCCCCACCGGUAACGUCACUACAUGGGAAGAGCACGGCAAAAAUACGGAUGCCGAUGAGACCCGCGUGGGAUAACGUCAACAAAAAGGUCUGUCGGAGUCAGCGCCCGGGCUACUCGGGUGACGAAGUUAAUCUGACUGCGAUGAUGUUAUUGGUUAACCCGAAGCCGGUGCUUUAGUAAGUCGACCCACUAUAUGUGAGUAUUGUGGUCAGCACCACAUGGACUACUGUGUCUGAUUAACUUUUUUGUAUAAAGCAAAUUUAGUCUUUCUUUGAUUCCUAUGCAGGCCUGAAAAUGCCUGCUGAAGAGCCCCCAGUUCAAGAUGCAGAGCAGAGACAAACUGGCGCCACCUGCAGGUUGAGAGGGGAGGCAGGGCCGUCCAGAGGGGAGGCGGGGCCGUCCAG